Long non-coding RNA from Branchiostoma floridae (Florida lancelet), 1119 nucleotides. RefSeq lists it as uncharacterized. The record is from RefSeq and is a predicted model, not a curated record. The transcript is spliced from 2 exons. NCBI's taxonomy places the organism in Eukaryota, Metazoa, Chordata, Leptocardii, Amphioxiformes, Branchiostomatidae.
GCAAAAGUGGCUUCUCCCGAUGACCUCCGUAUUUGCCCUCUGUCCGUCAUGCCGUCCGACCGUGCUGUGGCCGUGUGUGCCGGGGUCUCCUUCUGUCUGGGUUUCUUUCUCGGCUGGAAGUCCAACUCUUGGUACAGGAAGUACCUGAAGUGGAAGAGGGACCGUCUGCACUCCAAACUCGUAGACACACAGAAGAGAAUAGACAUCUCCUAGCGGUUCGCCUGGCGCUCGGUGUGGGAGGGGGGCUGCGCUGGUGGACUGGUGGUGCUAUUUCCGGGUCGAUUUCCUGGAUCCGUGGACGUCGCAAGUGGGCUGCUUAAACUUCACUAAUUGUGUGACAUUAGGUUCCCAGAGAGGCUGAGCUUAGACACUGUGCCGGACAGGGAGCUGGAAGAAAAUCCAUGAAGUUGCCAUGGAUUGACUUGGAUUCAAAAGCAGCGCCUCCUAGCGAUUUUAGCCUGUACAUCAAAGAUACAGCUUCCAUCGAGAAUUACGAACAACUGGAAGCUUUCCACUUUUUGCGAGAACUAUGUAGCUUGUGAAAUAAUGUGUUUAUUAUACUGUUAUCCACGUAAGUGUAGUGUUAAGAUUUUUGUCCAGAGAAAGGCAAAGCGAGCAGUGAUGUUUUGUGGAACAAGGGCAGGAUUUUCAGCAACAAGCACGUCUGAAUUAAAACCGAUUGGGCGAUUGCAACAAAAGCCCAACCUCUUUGAUAUAAUUAAACCUUAUUCAUGCUGAGUAGCAGUCAUAGGGUUCAUAAGGAUCAGGAAAAACUCAGGGUCUCACAGCUCUCCUACAAGCGAUAUAAUAUAUCAGAUAAAGUGUAAAGGGACAAGCUAUGCUUCGUUAAUCAUUUCUAUGAAAAUAAUCUUUUAUGCCGAAUUAGCCUGCAGCUGUAAGAAUGAAGAAGCAACAUAAGCUUUUCAAUAGCAUCAUGCUGACUCGUUUUAUUCAGUUUGUUGAUUUUCAAAUACUUCCUUCGCCCAAAAUCCCUCCUGUGCCUCCUGUAACAUGCAGGAAAUGUGUAGUUCUUGCUUUAUUAUUCUAAACUGUACUCAGCGAUAUCGUGCAUAAUAAAUCUCGGACAACUUUUCCCACCCAGUGGGAAUUUCUCAACCG